UUAAAAAGCUCGUAGUUGGAUUUCUGGACGAAGCUGUCGGUCCGCCGCUGUGCGGUGCGUACUUGAUCAGCCUUCGUUCAUCCUUGCAGGGAAGCGCAUUUCGGCAUUCAGUUGUCGGGGCGGGGAACUGCAUCUUUUACUGUGAAAAAAUUAGAGUGUUUAAAGCAGGCAUUUUGCUGUGAAUACAUUAGCAUGGAAUAAUAACAUAGGACCUCGGUUCUAUUUUGUUGGUUGGAGACCAAGGUAAUGAUUAAUAGGGACAGUUGGGGGUAUUCAUAUUUAAUUGUCAGAGGUGAAAUUCUUGGAUUUAUGAAAGAUGAACUCAUGCGAAUGCAUUUACCAAGGAUGUUUUCAUUAAUCAAGAACGAAAGUUAGGGGAUCGAAGAGGAUUAGAUACCCUCGUAGUCUUAACCAUAAACUAUGCCGACUAGGGAUUGGAGGACGUACAUUUUUGGCUCCUUCAGCACCUUACGAGAAAUCAAAGUCUUUGGGUUCCGGGGGGAGUAUGGUCGCAAGGCUGAAACUUAAAGGAAUUGACGGAAGGGCACCACCAGGAGUGGAGCCUG
This 566-nucleotide ribosomal RNA is filed under the name uncultured marine eukaryote. RNAcentral describes it as "SSU rRNA". It matches the Rfam family "Eukaryotic small subunit ribosomal RNA", at positions 619 to 1185 of the family's 1831-position model. The record is from RNAcentral.